Molecule: non-coding RNA, 114 nt
Organism: Cephalotrichum gorgonifer
Lineage: Eukaryota; Fungi; Ascomycota; Sordariomycetes; Microascales; Microascaceae
Source: the annotation of a GenBank genome assembly
GGGCCGAUGGUCUAGCGGUAUGAUUCUCGCUUAGGGUAACACCCUUAGCACGCUUCGUGAGCAAUCACGAAGCUAAAUUGCGAGAGGUCCCGGGUUCAAUUCCCGGUUGGCCCC